This 358-nucleotide ribosomal RNA is filed under the name Bacillus sp. 1b-7 (4). RNAcentral's name for it is "bacterial SSU rRNA". It matches the Rfam family "Bacterial small subunit ribosomal RNA", at positions 844 to 1200 of the family's 1533-position model. The record is from RNAcentral. Lineage: Bacteria; Bacillati; Bacillota; Bacilli; Caryophanales; Bacillaceae.
UGCUGCAGCUAACGCAUUAAGCACUCCGCCUGGGGAGUACGGUCGCAAGGACUGAAACUCAAAGGAAUUGACGGGGGCCCGCACAAGCGGUGGAGCAUGUGGUUUAAUUCGAAGCAACGCGAAGAACCUUACCAGGUCUUGACAUCCUCUGACAACUCUAGAGAUAGAGCGUUCCCCUUCGGGGGACAGAGUGACAGGUGGUGCAUGGUUGUCGUCAGCUCGUGUCGUGAGAUGUUGGGUUAAGUCCCGCAACGAGCGCAACCCUUGAUCUUAGUUGCCAGCAUUAAGUUGGGCACUCUAAGGUGACUGCCGGUGACAAACCGGAGGAAGGUGGGGAUGACGUCAAAUCAUCAUGCCC